Molecule: ribosomal RNA, 301 nt
Filed under: uncultured bacterium
Lineage: Bacteria
Description: partial 16S ribosomal RNA
Rfam family: Bacterial small subunit ribosomal RNA
Source: RNAcentral
CAGCAGCCACGGUAAUACAGGGGAUGCAAGCGUUAUCCGGAAUGAUUGGGCGUAAAGCGUCUGUAGGUGGCUUUUCAAGUCCGCCGUCAAAUCCCCGGGCUCAACCCUGGACAGGCAGUGGAAACUACCAAGCUGGAGUACGGUAGGGGCAGAGGGAAUUUCCGGUGGAGCGGUGAAAUGCGUAGAGAUGUGGAGGAACACCAGUGGCGAAGGCGACUCUCUGGUCUGUAACUGACGCUGAGGAGCGAAAGCGUGGGGAGCGAACAGGAUUAGAGACCCCAGUAGUCCCUGUCUCUUAUAC